GCACUAUUUGGCCAUUGUACUCAGGGAAAGUUCAAAGUCACUCUCAAGUAUCACACCAGUUGUGAAGUGGAUCACACUUGCGUUUGAAGCCAAUCCCUUUAAAAAAAAAAUUGUGGAGGGAGAUAUUCCUGGCAUCCUCCCUCCCUUUUCUGUUGCGCCACUCACCUUGUCCUAUCUGGUCUAAUUUGGAGCCACGGAGGCGAGGUUCAAGGAGACGCGGAGCAGACGGACAGGCGGAAAAAACACUGGCACAUGUCUGUCACUGUUGUCCUGCAGGAUCCUGUGGAUACUCGUCACUCUCAAGUCCAUUCUCAGGUGGGAACAUCCACUGCUGCAGGAUCAGUUCGUUUUUUUGCCUUUUCUCCAAUACUACUUCUUCCUCCAAUAAUACUGUAGGCUAGUUUACUUUUGCUUGUGAGAAUCAUUAUGAGUCAGUUCAUGUGUCAGUAUAACUGAUUGACUAUAGACACACCAAUGGUGUAACCAAGAGUAGCCAUUGAAAUUAACUUGCUUGAUCAAUUGGUAUCUAACAAAAAAAACGUCUUUGUUUUCACUCCAUGUUAAUAUAAAAUAUAAACAGUUUUUGAUUAUGUUGUGUCUUUUGAAAGAUAUACAUGUAGGUUCUACCAGUGUGCCCAGUCUUCGAUCUGUGUAGCCUCUGACACAGAAACACCCCAAAACUUGAUUUUACAGAAAC
Molecule: long non-coding RNA, 697 nt
Organism: Thunnus maccoyii (southern bluefin tuna)
Lineage: Eukaryota; Metazoa; Chordata; Actinopteri; Scombriformes; Scombridae
Exons: 3
Source: RefSeq, a predicted model, not a curated record